This 1024-nucleotide ribosomal RNA is filed under the name Friedmanniella sp. RNAcentral's name for it is "bacterial SSU rRNA". It matches the Rfam family "Bacterial small subunit ribosomal RNA", at positions 56 to 1095 of the family's 1533-position model. Lineage: Bacteria; Bacillati; Actinomycetota; Actinomycetes; Propionibacteriales; Nocardioidaceae. The record is from RNAcentral.
UGCAGUCGAACGGUAAGGCCUUUCGGGGUCAUACGAGUGGCGAACGGGUGAGUAACACGUGAGCAACCUGCCCUUGACUUCGGAAUACCAGCUGGAAACAGCUGCUAAUACCGGAUAUGACCCUGGUCCUCCUGGACUGGGGUGGAAAGCUCCGGCGGUCAGGGAUGGGCUCGCGGCCUAUCAGCUUGUUGGUGAGGUAAUGGCUCACCAAGGCUUCGACGGGUAGCCGGCCUGAGAGGGCGACCGGCCACACUGGGACUGAGAUACGGCCCAGACUCCUACGGGAGGCAGCAGUGGGGAAUAUUGCACAAUGGGCGCAAGCCUGAUGCAGCAACGCCGCGUGCGGGAUGACGGCCUUCGGGUUGUAAACCGCUUUCAGUAGGGACGAAGCCACAAGUGACGGUACCUACAGAAGAAGGACCGGCUAACUACGUGCCAGCAGCCGCGGUGAUACGUAGGGUCCGAGCGUUGUCCGGAAUUAUUGGGCGUAAAGGGCUUGUAGGCGGUCCGUCGCGUCAGGAGUGAAAACUCGGGGCUUAACCCCGAGCCUGCUUUUGAUACGGGCGGACUAGAGGGAUGCAGGGGAGAACGGAAUUCCUGGUGGAGCGGUGGAAUGCGCAGAUAUCAGGAGGAACACCGGUGGCGAAGGCGGUUCUCUGGGCAUCACCUGACGCUGAGAAGCGAAAGCGUGGGGAGCAAACAGGCUUAGAUACCCUGGUAGUCCACGCCGUAAACGGUGGGCACUAGGUGUGGGGGACAUUCCACGUUCUCCGUGCCGAAGCUAACGCAUUAAGUGCCCCGCCUGGGGAGUACGGCCGCAAGGCUAAAACUCAAAGGAAUUGACGGGGGCCCGCACAAGCGGCGGAGCAUGCGGAUUAAUUCGAUGCAACGCGAAGAACCUUACCUGGGUUUGACAUACACCGGAAAGCUGCAGAGAUGUAGCCCCCCGCAAGGUCGGUGUACAGGUGGUGCAUGGCUGUUCGUCAGCUCGUGUCGUGAGAUGUUGGGUUAAGUCCCGCAACGA